AAUGAACGUUGGCGGCGUGGAUUAGGCAUGCAAGUCGUGCGAUAACCCCGCAAGGGGGGAAAGCGGCGAAAGGGAGAGUAACGCGUGGGUACCUGCCCCUUGGUCCGGAAUAGCUGCGGGAAACUGCAGGUAAUGCCGGAUAAUAUCCUCGGAUCAAAGGUGUGAUUCCGCCGAGGGAGGGGCCCGCGUUCUAUUAGCUAGUUGGUAGGGUAAUGGCCUACCAAGGCGACGAUGGAUACCGGGUGUGAGAGCAUGACCCGGCUCACUGGGACUGAGACACUGCCCAGACGCCUACGGGUGGCUGCAGUCGAGAAUCUUCGGGAAUGGGCGCAAGCGUGACCGAGCGACGCCGCGUGCGGGAUGAAGGCCUUCGGGUUGUAAACCGCUGUCGUAGAGGAGGAAAUGCCAUGGGGUUCUCUCCAUGGUUUGACCUAUUCUAGGAGGAAGGACGGGCUAAGUUCGUGCCAGCCGCCGCGGUAA
This 480-nucleotide ribosomal RNA is filed under the name uncultured bacterium. Its description in RNAcentral is "partial 16S ribosomal RNA". It matches the Rfam family "Bacterial small subunit ribosomal RNA", at positions 28 to 523 of the family's 1533-position model. The record is from RNAcentral.